GAUGAACGCUGGCGGCGUGCUUAACACAUGCAAGUCGAACGGGAAACCUUUUAUUGAAGCUUCGGCAGAUUUAGCUGGUUUCUAGUGGCGGACGGGUGAGUAACGCGUGGGUAACCUGCCUUAUACAGGGGGAUAACAGUCAGAAAUGGCUGCUAAUACCGCAUAAGCGCACAGAGCUGCAUGGCUCAGUGUGAAAAACUCCGGUGGUAUAAGAUGGACCCGCGUUGGAUUAGCUGGUUGGUGGGGUAACGGCCCACCAAGGCGACGAUCCAUAGCCGGCCUGAGAGGGUGAACGGCCACAUUGGGACUGAGACACGGCCCAGACUCCUACGGGAGGCAGCAGUGGGGAAUAUUGCACAAUGGGGGAAACCCUGAUGCAGCGACGCCGCGUGAAGGAAGAAGUAUCUCGGUAUGUAAACUUCUAUAAGCAGGGAAGAUAAUGACGGUACCUGACUAAGAAGCCCCGGCUAACUACGUG
RNAcentral lists this ribosomal RNA (478 nucleotides) under uncultured bacterium. RNAcentral describes it as "partial 16S ribosomal RNA". It matches the Rfam family "Bacterial small subunit ribosomal RNA", at positions 28 to 507 of the family's 1533-position model. The record is from RNAcentral.